Molecule: ribosomal RNA, 151 nt
Filed under: uncultured Lactobacillus sp.
Lineage: Bacteria; Bacillati; Bacillota; Bacilli; Lactobacillales; Lactobacillaceae
Description: partial 16S ribosomal RNA
Rfam family: Bacterial small subunit ribosomal RNA
Source: RNAcentral
UCUGACCGAGCACGCCGCGUGAGUGAAGAAGGUUUUCGGAUCGUAAAACUCUGUUGGUAGAGAAGAACGUUGGUGAGAGUGGAAAGCUCAUCAAGUGACGGUAACUACCCAGAAAGGGACGGCUAACUACGUGCCAGCAGCCGCGGUAAUA